GAAGGUAUAGCUCUGUGGUUAGAGCAUAUGCUUAGCAUGCAUGAGGUCCUGGGUUGAAUCCCCAGUACCUCCA
This 73-nucleotide transfer RNA is filed under the name Camelus bactrianus (Bactrian camel). It matches the Rfam family "tRNA". Rfam says of the family: Transfer RNA (tRNA) molecules are approximately 80 nucleotides in length. Their secondary structure includes four short double-helical elements and three loops (D, anti-codon, and T loops). Lineage: Eukaryota; Metazoa; Chordata; Mammalia; Artiodactyla; Camelidae. The record is from Rfam by way of RNAcentral. RNAcentral also lists the same sequence under 3 other names.